UAAAACUACAAAAUAUCAAAGUUACGACCAUAGUACCAUGCUCAUGUCAUAAUAUAUUACCAACAAAAUAAACACGUUCAAAAAAAGUCGUUCUAGUACUAAAAACUAGUCUAAAACAACCUAAGUCAAGAGUCACUAUGCAAUGACUGGUCGUCCAAGUUGUCAUCAUAAUGAGGAUGUGUAGGAGGCUGGGUCGCAC
RNAcentral lists this long non-coding RNA (199 nucleotides) under Medicago truncatula (barrel medic). RNAcentral describes it as "long non-coding RNA (MTRU_LNC001656)". The record is from RNAcentral. Lineage: Eukaryota; Viridiplantae; Streptophyta; Magnoliopsida; Fabales; Fabaceae.